RNAcentral lists this ribosomal RNA (400 nucleotides) under Paenibacillus polymyxa. RNAcentral describes it as "bacterial SSU rRNA". It matches the Rfam family "Bacterial small subunit ribosomal RNA", at positions 77 to 471 of the family's 1533-position model. Lineage: Bacteria; Bacillati; Bacillota; Bacilli; Caryophanales; Paenibacillaceae. The record is from RNAcentral.
UGCUUCUAAUUAACCUAGCGGCGGACGGGUGAGUAACACGUAGGCAACCUGCCCACAAGACAGGGAUAACUACCGGAAACGGUAGCUAAUACCCGAUACAUCCUUUUCCUGCAUGGGUGAAGGAGGAAAGGCGGAGCAAUCUGUCACUUGUGGAUGGGCCUGCGGCGCAUUAGCUAGUUGGUGGGGUAAUGGCCUACCAAGGCGACGAUGCGUAGCCGACCUGAGAGGGUGAUCGGCCACACUGGGACUGAGACACGGCCCAGACUCCUACGGGAGGCAGCAGUAGGGAAUCUUCCGCAAUGGGCGAAAGCCUGACGGAGCAACGCCGCGUGAGUGAUGAAGGUUUUCGGAUCGUAAAGCUCUGUUGCCAGGGAAGAACGUCUUAUAGAGUAACUGCUAU